AAGCCUACGGGAGGCAGCAGUGAGGAAUAUUGGUCAAUGGUCGGGAGACUGAACCAGCCAAGCCGCGUGAGGGAUGAAGGUACAGAGUAUCGUAAACCUCUUUUGCCGGGGAGCAAAAAGCGGUACGUGUACCGCAUCGAGAGUACCCGGAGAAAAAGCAUCGGCUAACUCCGUGCCAGCAGCCGCGGUAAUACGGAGGAUGCGAGCGUUAUCCGGAUUUAUUGGGUUUAAAGGGUGCGCAGGCGGCGAGUUAAGUCAGCGGUAAAAGCCCGGGGCUCAACCCCGGCGAGCCGUUGCAACUGGCU
RNAcentral lists this ribosomal RNA (305 nucleotides) under uncultured bacterium. Its description in RNAcentral is "bacterial SSU rRNA". It matches the Rfam family "Bacterial small subunit ribosomal RNA", at positions 335 to 638 of the family's 1533-position model. The record is from RNAcentral.